CAGUAGCCGCGGGAAUACGAAGGGGGCUAGCGUUGUUCGGAUUUACUGGGCGUAAAGCGCACGUAGGCGGACUUUUAAGUCAGGGGUGAAAUCCCGGGGCUCAACCCCGGAACUGCCUUUGAUACUGGGAGUCUUGAGUUCGAGAGAGGUGAGUGGAAUUGCGAGUGUAGAGGUGAAGUUCGUAGAUAUUCGCAGGAACACCAGUGGCGAAGGCGGCUCACUGGCUCGAUACUGACGCUGAGGUGCGAAAGCGUGGGGAGCAAACAGGAUUAGAUACCCCCGUAGUCCCUGUCUCUUAUAC
Molecule: ribosomal RNA, 301 nt
Filed under: uncultured bacterium
Lineage: Bacteria
Description: partial 16S ribosomal RNA
Rfam family: Bacterial small subunit ribosomal RNA
Source: RNAcentral